CUAAAAGAUGAGGGUGCGGAACAUUAGUUAGUUGGUGAGGUAAUGGCUCACCAAGACUAUGAUGUUUAGCCGGGUCGAGAGACUGAACGGCCACAUUGGGACUGAGAUACGGCCCAAACUCCUACGGGAGGCAGCAGUAGGGAAUAUUCCACAAUGAGCGAAAGCUUGAUGGAGCGACACAGCGUGCACGAUGAAGGUCUUCGGAUUGUAAAGUGCUGUUAUAAGGGAAGAACAUUUGCAAUAGGAAAUGAUUGCA
RNAcentral lists this ribosomal RNA (256 nucleotides) under Metamycoplasma hominis. Its description in RNAcentral is "Mycoplasma hominis partial 16S ribosomal RNA". It matches the Rfam family "Bacterial small subunit ribosomal RNA", at positions 218 to 477 of the family's 1533-position model. Lineage: Bacteria; Bacillati; Mycoplasmatota; Mycoplasmoidales; Metamycoplasmataceae. The record is from RNAcentral.